GACGAACGCUGGCGGCGUGCUUAACACAUGCAAGUCGAACGCUGAAGCUCAGCUUGCUGGGUGGCUGAGUGGCGAACGGGUGAGUAACACGUGAGUAACCUGCCCUCUUCUUUGGGAUAACGCCCGGAAACGGGUGCUAAUACUGGAUAUUCACUGAUUCUCGCAUGGGGGUUGGUGGAAAGGUUUUUUCUGGUGGGGGAUGGGCUCGCGGCCUAUCAGCUUGUUGGUGGGGUGAUGGCCUACCAAGGCUUUGACGGGUAGCCGGCCUGAGAGGGUGACCGGUCACAUUGGGACGGAGAUACGGCCCAGACUCCUACGGGAGGCAGCAGUGGGGAAUAUUGCACAAUGGGCGAAAGCCGGAUGCAGCGACGCCGCGUGAGGGAUGGAGGCCUUCGGGUUGUAAACCUCUUUCGCUCAUGGUCAAGCCGCAGCUUUGGGUUGUGGUGAGGGUAGUGGGUAAAGAAGCGCCGGCUAACUACGUG
Molecule: ribosomal RNA, 482 nt
Filed under: uncultured bacterium
Lineage: Bacteria
Description: partial 16S ribosomal RNA
Rfam family: Bacterial small subunit ribosomal RNA
Source: RNAcentral